GGUGAACGCUAGCGGCAGGCCUAAUACAUGCAAGUCGAACGGGAUCUGAGGGUAGCUUGCUACCCGAUUUGAGAGUGGCGCACGGGUGCGUAACGCGUGAGCAACCUACCCAUAUCAGGGGGAUAGCCCGAAGAAAUUCGGAUUAACACCGCAUAAUAAUACGCUAACACAUGUUGAUGUAUUUAAAUAUCUAUAGGAUAUGGAUGGGCUCGCGUGACAUUAGCUAGUUGGUAAGGUAACGGCUUACCAAGGCGACGAUGUCUAGGGGCUCUGAGAGGAGAAUCCCCCACACUGGUACUGAGACACGGGCCAGAAUCCUACGGGAGGCAGCAGUAAGAAAUAUUGGUCAAUGGGCGCAAGCCUGAACCAGGCAUGCCGCGUGCAGGAUGACUGCCCUAUGGUUUGUAAACUGCUUUUGUUAGGGAAUAAACCUUCUUACGUGUAAGGAGCUGAAUGUACCUAAAGAAUAAGGAUCGGCUAACUCCGUGCCAGCAGCCGCCGUAA
RNAcentral lists this ribosomal RNA (504 nucleotides) under uncultured bacterium. RNAcentral describes it as "partial 16S ribosomal RNA". It matches the Rfam family "Bacterial small subunit ribosomal RNA", at positions 28 to 523 of the family's 1533-position model. The record is from RNAcentral.